Cyprinus carpio (common carp) is the source of this 338-nucleotide long non-coding RNA. RefSeq lists it as uncharacterized. Lineage: Eukaryota; Metazoa; Chordata; Actinopteri; Cypriniformes; Cyprinidae. The transcript has 2 exons. The record is from RefSeq and is a predicted model, not a curated record.
GUCUCUUUACAUACGUAAAUAAAGGUUUUUUUGGUAAGUCAUAAUUCAAAAUGUUGUUUUUUCUUGUCAGAAGAGAACAUGGAUACAUUUGUGAGAGAAAAACUCGUCGAGUGCAGUCUUAUCGAGACGUCUAACGGUUGGAACAAACGUGGAAUUCCUUAACCGAGUCCACAAAACCCCAUCCAUCUGUCAUGGCGAUUUGAAAAUGCCAGCAGAUCUCUCAGGCAUUGAUCAUAAUCAAUGGACAGGUAAGGACAUUCUGGACAAUUUUCAAAAGGAAUUGCAAAUUGUAUAUUUAAUUGCAUUUUCCCACAUGUGGACGCAUAAAUUGUGACAUA